AAUGGGUGAGUGAAAAGGUAAGAGGUUUAUUAUGAAAUUGUGAAAUUGAUCUGUUAGAGGUAGGUUAUGUUAUUUUCUGUUAGGAGAGUGUCUUUGCAGGUACAUCAACAUUCCUAUGCUUGUAAGUAAGAUAUUAAUUUGUUUUUGCCUCUUUUUGAUUUAUUUUUUACUUCUUAUAGUAUGGAAAAAUGGUAAGGAAAAGGGUAAGAAUUUUGUAUUGCUAUUUUGUUAUUAUGAAAUUGUGAUGUUCUGAGGUAGGUAGGUAUUGCUAGUUAUUGCUGAACCAAAACAGGAGAAAAAGGGUUGCUACUCAAUCAGGUAAAGUAUGUGUUUUCUUAGUAGAAGUAGAACUUCCUAACUAUGAUUGGUUUUGUUUUCCUUUUUCACAAACUUGCCAUAACAAUAGACUUAUCCUGAAUUCCUGAUUUAUUAUUCAAGUUCUCAAUGGGAUACAUCGCUUACAUAUGUUCUUGCUUCAGUAUCACAUCCCUAUCCCUUGUUUGUCAAACCAGUGUUCUCAAU
Molecule: long non-coding RNA, 522 nt
Filed under: Trifolium pratense (red clover)
Lineage: Eukaryota; Viridiplantae; Streptophyta; Magnoliopsida; Fabales; Fabaceae
Description: long non-coding RNA (TPRA_LNC011236)
Source: RNAcentral